Clostridium sp. CAG:349 is the source of this 92-nucleotide non-coding RNA. The record is from Rfam. Lineage: Bacteria; Bacillati; Bacillota; Clostridia; Eubacteriales; Clostridiaceae.
UGCAGAGUAGAUAAGUCGCGUUAAGUGUUGCGGGAUGGAAUGUCGCCCGCAAACGAAAGGGAAACCUGCGGUGGCUUGUCGCGUUCGCUGCG